AAAGCCCCUUCGGGGGUGAGUACAGUGGCGAACGGGUGAGUAACGCGUAAGAAUCUUCCCUUGAGUGAAGGAUACCAUCGAGAAAUUGAUGUUAAUACUGCAUAACCCUUUUAAUUGAGAGAUUAAAAGGCAAAGACGGCCUCUUUGCUGUCGCUUAAGGAUGAGCUUGCGUACUAUUAGCUUGUUGGUGAGGUAAAGGCUCACCAAGGCGAAGAUGGUUAGCCGGCCUGAGAGGGUGAUCGGCCACAUUGGGACUGAGAUACGGCCCAGACUCCUACGGGAGGCAGCAGUGGGGAAUUUUGCACAAUGGGGGAAACCCUGAUGCAGCGACGCCGCGUGGAGGAUGAAGGUCUUCGGAUUGUAAACUCCUGUACUAGGGGGAAGAAAUGCGUACGAGUAAUAUGCGUACGUUCUGACGGUACCUCUAGAGAAAGCUCCGGCUAACUUCGUGCCAGCAGCCGCGGUAAUACGAAGGGAGCGAGCGUUAUUCGGAAUUACUGGGCGUAAAGAGCGUGUCGGUGGCUUAGUAAGUCAGUCGUCAAAGAUCACUGCCCAACAGUGUAAAUGCGAUUGAAACUGCUUGGCUAGAGGGCAGGAGAGAGGGGUGGAAUU
This 612-nucleotide ribosomal RNA is filed under the name uncultured bacterium. RNAcentral's name for it is "bacterial SSU rRNA". It matches the Rfam family "Bacterial small subunit ribosomal RNA", at positions 71 to 668 of the family's 1533-position model. The record is from RNAcentral.